AAGGAGCACUUCUUACCAGGUUCGCUUGGUCAGAGGCCAGUACACCGGCGAAUGUUCGGUGCUGGUUGCUCAUGGGUGGAACGUUGACUAUUCGGCACGACAGGUUGGCCACUACUAGUACUGCUUCGGCGUGGAAUGUAUGGGUGAUCGGUCGGGUCGGGCACGCUGUUGGGUAUCUGAAGGUAUGGCCGUAAGGCUGCCUUCGGUUGCCGGCCCCAGUGCACUCACCUGUAAGGGUGGGGUGAUGGGGGCUGGUCGUUG
This 261-nucleotide unclassified non-coding RNA is filed under the name Streptomyces scabiei. RNAcentral's name for it is "partial 16S-23S ribosomal RNA intergenic spacer". The record is from RNAcentral. Lineage: Bacteria; Bacillati; Actinomycetota; Actinomycetes; Kitasatosporales; Streptomycetaceae.